AUUAGCUAACGAGUCCAAAAUAGGACUAAAUGCGCGUCCUGGAU
This 44-nucleotide non-coding RNA is filed under the name Schistosoma haematobium. The record is from RNAcentral. Lineage: Eukaryota; Metazoa; Platyhelminthes; Trematoda; Strigeidida; Schistosomatidae.